GGGGGUGUAGCUCAGUGGUAGAGCACAUGCUUAGCAUGCAAGGGGUCCUGGGUGCAAUCCUCAGUGCCUCCA
Camelus ferus (Wild Bactrian camel) is the source of this 72-nucleotide transfer RNA. It matches the Rfam family "tRNA". From Rfam's summary of the family: Transfer RNA (tRNA) molecules are approximately 80 nucleotides in length. Their secondary structure includes four short double-helical elements and three loops (D, anti-codon, and T loops). Further hydrogen bonds mediate the characteristic L-shaped molecular structure. tRNAs have two regions of fundamental functional importance: the anti-codon, which is responsible for specific mRNA codon recognition, and the 3' end, to which the tRNAs corresponding amino acid is attached (by aminoacyl-tRNA synthetases). tRNAs cope with the degeneracy of the genetic code in two manners: having more than one tRNA (with a specific anti-codon) for a particular amino acid; and 'wobble' base-pairing, i.e. permitting non-standard base-pairing at the 3rd anti-codon position. NCBI's taxonomy places the organism in Eukaryota, Metazoa, Chordata, Mammalia, Artiodactyla, Camelidae. The record is from Rfam.